This is a long non-coding RNA of Hippocampus zosterae (dwarf seahorse), 727 nucleotides long. RefSeq lists it as uncharacterized. The record is from RefSeq and is a predicted model, not a curated record. NCBI's taxonomy places the organism in Eukaryota, Metazoa, Chordata, Actinopteri, Syngnathiformes, Syngnathidae. The transcript is spliced from 2 exons.
CCACUUCCCACCACGAGAUGUUUGUCCCCAUCUGUAUCACAGCAAGCAACCUGAGAACCUGGGGUUGCUUUCAGAAAGAGGAUUAAGGAAGGCAAAAGUGUUUCUUUUGGACAGAUAAAAGAUCACAAAAGAAGGCAGAUCAGAUGCAUGAGGUGAAGAUAAGGUCAUUCUCACUGGAGCACAAGAGCCCGCGUGUUGCGCCUUCUCUCAGAAGAAGGAAGGACACAACUAUUUUCCGACCAUUUAUUUCCAGUCUUGAUGAGGAGCAAGCAGCAAGGUGGGGCAACUUGAGUGAAAUGACUUCUCAGAACCGAGUCCGCAAUUUUAAGACUUGGGACUUGCAUGUCUUAAAGUGAUGGAAGACUCGACUCAUCUGACUUUGGUAUUUAAAACUUUUAUAAGGAUGGAAACAAUAUUUUAUCACUCCAGUAAAAACGGCGACUGGCUUGGCCUGUUCAACCAAGUAAUGACUUGACUCGCUUGAAAUUUUUGGGCGCACUCGAGGAGAUUGAUCGUUUUUCACAAUAACUUGUGGGAUUUGCUUAAAACUUGACGGUCACAAUCUGAGAAUGAUUUGCAACACGUGACCGACUCCCCACCUUUCAUUGAAACAUCCAUCCAUCCACCAGCCCAACAACUCAUCUAUCCAUGCUUCGAACUUUUAAGGAGAAAUGUGUGUUAACGUGUGACAACCACAAAUAAAUGGAAGAGAAAAUCCCAAGCAAGA